CAACUCUAUUGACAGAAUUACAUGUAUUAAAAGUAGUUUAUUUUUCUUUCUCAAAAACUUCAGGCUGGAGAAUAGGGUGGUUUAAUAGAUCUGUGGAAAUCAGGCCCCUUGUGCAUUUUUUUCACCAUUUAAAUGAUGUCUACCACUUGGACGUUCCUUUAUGUUUGAAGAUAGCUGUCUGUGGUGUAGAUGGAAAUGGAGAAGAAAGUAGGAUAAGCAUUAUUGGACACUUCCACCCUGAAACCUUGUAACACAGCUAUAAAAGAGAGAUACUCCAUGAUGCUAGGAUGGGCCAUGUUUGGGACUCUCCGUCUGCCACAUACAUCAAUUUCCAAACCUGACUCACGAUGAACCACCAAAUACAAAAAAAUAUAUAAAAAAGAAUAUUGGAGGCCUAUACUCAAAGUGACAACCUGCUGAUACAUUUUAAUCUAUGGCAUCAGUAGUUCUUUGAGCUCUCCACUAGAUUGAAAAUUAUAACUGGAAAAUAAUUUAAGGGCAUAAAGCAUCUUCGAUUUCUCUGAAGUACUCCUUGCAACUUGUACAGUGCCAGCAAUGCUAAGAACAAAGUUAUGUGUUCAAUAAAUUCUCACUGA
This is a long non-coding RNA of Talpa occidentalis (Iberian mole), 596 nucleotides long. RefSeq lists it as uncharacterized. The transcript is spliced from 3 exons. The record is from RefSeq and is a predicted model, not a curated record. Lineage: Eukaryota; Metazoa; Chordata; Mammalia; Eulipotyphla; Talpidae.